UGAUGUCAUAGCUGGUACUUUUUCUAUUAACUCCAUUUUAGUUAAAGUAUUAUUUAAUUCUGGUGCAACUUAUUCUUUUAUCUGAGUAGAUGCUAUGGGAAAAUUAGCACUAGAGGAAAAAUCCUUAUUGGUGGCUCAUCAAAGGUUGCCCUUGUAUUACAAGUGCAACCUUUAAUGGUUAAAAAAAACAAAAAAAUUUAAAACAAAAAAAUCUUCCCUCCAUUUUGAAAAAGCGCAUCCUAAACAAAACAUUUGCUGCUCCCUCCUCCCAGCUGCUCCCUCCUUCCUUCAUCACUGAAUUUCACUCACUCAUCUCCCUCUUGUCUCCCUCUGUUCACUCGAUCUCCUCUCCUCUCUUCUCUUCAGCGCCGCCGCGCUGUGACCACCGCUCCCACACCGCCCUGUCGUGACGGCGGUUGGGGUCGCUGCUUUCCUCUUCUCUUUCCUCUUUAUUGUCGGUUGUGUUGUUCUUCUCCGCCACGUCGCCGCCGUUGUCGGUGGCCUCUGGUUCAAACCGUUGAUGUUUCAUCAUCUAUCCGUAUGAAGAAGAUAGAAUACGGAUUAAGGAUGUUGUGAAGUGUGGAAAGGUUGAUGCAAGAAGAAUCAUAGCAGGAAAAUAUCCUUGACAGACCUGCACUACUACAGAUUAUGUUAUUACCACCAAAGAAGUCAUCAUUGGAAGAAUGUCCAUUCCUCCAGAUCAUUCAAGAUACUCAAUCAUGCGUCAUUCUUCCUAUGAUUUUCCAUGUCUGAAGGUUAAAAGAACCAAUUUCAAAUUGGGGAUUUCGACCUUAUAAUUUGCAAGACUGGAUUGGUACAUAUCCAGUUUCUUCUGGCCAAGAGAGCAAGGGAUCUUUAGCACCCUAAGAGUGAUAUUGUGUGCAUUCACAUCCUUUUUCUUGAUACUAGUCUUCAUCAACUUUUUGACUGCCUUUAUUGCAAAAUUCUUGCCACCAGUAUGGAGCAACAACAAACUGCUAUUACCCGAUUUUUAUAAUCAAGAUUUUUAUUGAGAAAAAGUAUGCUUUGCCUUAUCGGGUGCUGGAUGCCUUGGUUGCUCAUUUCAUGAGAUUUGUAGAAGACUCAAAGGUUAUGCCAGUGAUCUGGCAUCAAACUCUUCUUGCCUUUGUUCAAAGGUUUUCACAACUCCAAGGGAGGGGCCCUUCACGAAAGAGGAGUUGGAUGAAGUUCGAGACAAGUGGGCUACUUACUUCAACGAUUGUGAAUUAUCCUCAGUGUAAUAAUUAGAGCAGGCUUGUAGUUUUUCGUGACUCUUACAUUAUUUUGUUAUUUAUCGAUUUAAUUAAUUACAUUUGAAUUAAUUCGGAAAUAUUAUUCGAAAUUUGAAAUUUAUAUCAUUUUUGAGGAAUGUCAAGAUGAUGUUUGGUGAAA
This is an RNA transcript of Spinacia oleracea (spinach), 1392 nucleotides long. It is a transcript of the gene named bystin, with no coding region annotated. Lineage: Eukaryota; Viridiplantae; Streptophyta; Magnoliopsida; Caryophyllales; Amaranthaceae. The record is from RefSeq and is a predicted model, not a curated record. The transcript is spliced from 6 exons.